CCCUUAUUUAGAGUGGCAGAGGGACAGGCCCUGUGACGCCCAGCAACCCCCAUAGUAGAUGUGGAAGGUGCUAAUUCCUGCAGAACAUGUUUUUGUUCUGAAAGAUAAGGA
This 111-nucleotide non-coding RNA is filed under the name Metabacillus harenarius. Its description in RNAcentral is "Bacillus weihaiensis SAM-I sequence". It matches the Rfam family "SAM riboswitch aptamer (S box leader)". From Rfam's summary of the family: The SAM riboswitch is found upstream of a number of genes which code for proteins involved in methionine or cysteine biosynthesis in Gram-positive bacteria. The SAM riboswitch acts at the level of transcription termination control. The record is from Rfam by way of RNAcentral. Lineage: Bacteria; Bacillati; Bacillota; Bacilli; Caryophanales; Bacillaceae.